Long non-coding RNA from Sardina pilchardus (European sardine), 589 nucleotides. RefSeq lists it as uncharacterized. The transcript is spliced from 2 exons. The record is from RefSeq and is a predicted model, not a curated record. Lineage: Eukaryota; Metazoa; Chordata; Actinopteri; Clupeiformes; Clupeidae.
CAGUGUCCUCAGUGUCUAACCCAGUUUGCUCACUGGUGUAUGGUCUUUGGGCAAUCAAGUGGUCAGUUUAUAUCAGAUACUGAUGAGAGAUAAAAACCGAACCCUACUGUAUACCUAACCCAGAAUAUGAAACCGACACUGAUGCUUGUGUGUGGAGUCUUUCUUUUUGGUCUUGGCAUGGCCGAAGAUUACAAUCACGAUGACGAUGAUGAUUACAAUUACGAUGGCAAUUUAUCUACCCCUACUUAUAACUAUGACUAUGAGGAUUAUUGGGAAGAACAUGCCACAUUGCCAGCUCCAACCUCUGGGAGUACUGGAUUAACUGCAGGCAAAACUGCCAGCUUGCUCAUCUUCUUCUUCAUCUUCCUCUUCGACUGGGAGUAGCAGCAUGAUCACUAUGGCAUGGGGUACAACACUGUCUCUUAAUCUUCUCACCACAACCAAACCGGAGCUGCUAGACAUUCUAAAUACAAGCUCAUCUGAUACACUUGUUUCAAUAUUACAGAUGGGCCCAAGUAGGUUGGUGCAGACUAGGACUGGGAAUUGCAACAACCAUUUUGCCAAUUAAAAACCAUAUUGUUAAGUUCAA